UGAGGAAUAUUGGACAAUGGGCGCAAGCCUGAUCCAGCCAUGCCGCGUGCAGGAAGAAGCAUCUAUGGUGUGUAAACUGCUUUUGUACGGGAAGAAACACUCCUACGUGUAGGAGCUUGACGGUACCGUAAGAAUAAGGAUCGGCUAACUCCGCGCCAGCAGCCGCGGUAAUACGGAGGACCCAAGCGUUAUCCGGAAUCAUUGGGUUUAAAGGGUCCGUAGGCGGGUCUGUAAGUCAGUGGUGAAAUCUCCCCGCUCAACGGGGAAACUGCCAUUGAUACUGUUAGACUUGAAUUACAAGGAAGUAACUAGAAUAUGUAGUGUAGCGGUGAAAUGCUUAGAUAUUACAUGGAAUACCAAUUGCGAAGGCAGGUUACUACUUGUGGAUUGACGCUGAUGGACGAAAGCGUGGGGAGCGAACA
RNAcentral lists this ribosomal RNA (422 nucleotides) under uncultured bacterium. RNAcentral's name for it is "bacterial SSU rRNA". It matches the Rfam family "Bacterial small subunit ribosomal RNA", at positions 355 to 774 of the family's 1533-position model. The record is from RNAcentral.